RNAcentral lists this ribosomal RNA (256 nucleotides) under uncultured bacterium. RNAcentral's name for it is "partial 16S ribosomal RNA". It matches the Rfam family "Bacterial small subunit ribosomal RNA", at positions 524 to 776 of the family's 1533-position model. The record is from RNAcentral.
UACGUAGGCAGCGAGCGUUGUUCGGAAUUACUGGGCGUAAAGAGUGUGUAGGCGGUGCUCUAAGUUCGGUGUGAAAUCUCCUGGCUCAACUGGGGAGGGUGCGCCCGGGAAACUGGAGUGCUUGAGCGUGGGAGAGGAAAGCGGAAUUCCUGGUGUAGCGGUGAAAUGCGUAGAUAUCAGGAGGAACACCUGUGGUGUAGACGGCUUUCUGGACCAUAGCUGACGCUGAGACACGAAAGCGUGGGUAGCAAACAGG